GAUGAACGCUGGCGGCGUGCCUAAUACAUGCAAGUCGAGCGAACGGACGAGAAGCUUGCUUCUCUGUUGUUAGCGGCGGACGGGUGAGUAACACGUGGAUAACCUCCCUAUAAUACUGGGAUAACUUCGGGAAUCCGGAUCUAAUCCCGGAUGAUCUUUUGAUCCGCGUGGUUCAAAGGUGAAAGACGGUCUUGCUGUAACUUAUAGAUGGAUCCGCGCCGCAUUAGCAAGUUGGUAAGGUACCGGCUUACCAAGGCUAGUAUGCAUAGACGAACUGAGAGAGUGAUCGGCGACACUGGAGCUGAGACACCGUCCAGACGACUAAGGGAGGCAGCAGUAGGGAACGUGCGGCAAUGGGCGAAAGCCUGACGGAGCAGGGCCGCGUGAGUGAUGACGGUGUCCGGAGCGUAAAACCCUGUUAUGAGUGAAGAACAGAUGUGGACGUAACUGUGCACAGCGUGACGGUACUUAAUCAGAAAGCACCGGCUAACUACGUG
This 497-nucleotide ribosomal RNA is filed under the name uncultured bacterium. RNAcentral's name for it is "partial 16S ribosomal RNA". It matches the Rfam family "Bacterial small subunit ribosomal RNA", at positions 28 to 507 of the family's 1533-position model. The record is from RNAcentral.